RNAcentral lists this transfer RNA (75 nucleotides) under Candidatus Pacearchaeota archaeon. RNAcentral describes it as "tRNA-Arg". It matches the Rfam family "tRNA". Rfam says of the family: Transfer RNA (tRNA) molecules are approximately 80 nucleotides in length. The record is from RNAcentral. Lineage: Archaea; Nanobdellati.
GGCCUCGUAGCUCAGCCUGGAUAGAGCAUCAGACUUCUAAUCUGAGGGUCGCAGGUUCGAAUCCUGUCGGGGCCG